GAUGAACGCUGGCGGCGUGCCUAAUACAUGCAAGUCGAGCGCGAGCGUAAGGAGCUUGCUCCUUACAAUCGAGCGGCGGACGGGUGAGUAACACGUGGGCAACCUACCCUUUAGACUGGGAUAACUACCGGAAACGGUAGCUAAUACCGGAUAAGUUGGAUUACACAAGUAAUCUUAAUGAAAGGCGGAUUUAUCUGUCACUAAAGGAUGGGCCUGCGGUGCAUUAGCUAUUUGGUGGGGUAGUGGCUCACCAAGGCAACGAUGCAUAGCCGACCGGAGAGGGUGAUCGGCCACACUGGGACUGAGACACGGCCCAGACUCCUACGGGAGGCAGCAGUAGGGAAUCUUCCGCAAUGGACGCAAGUCUGACGGAGCAACGCCGCGUGAGUGAAGAAGGGUUUCGGCUCGUAAAACUCUGUUGUUAAGGAAGAACACUUUAGGUAGUAACUGGCCUAGAGAUGACGGUACUUAACCAGAAAGCCACAGCUAACUACGUGCCAGCCGCCGCGGUAA
This 513-nucleotide ribosomal RNA is filed under the name uncultured bacterium. Its description in RNAcentral is "partial 16S ribosomal RNA". It matches the Rfam family "Bacterial small subunit ribosomal RNA", at positions 28 to 523 of the family's 1533-position model. The record is from RNAcentral.